GUAGGUGGCAAGCGUUGUCCGGAAUUAUUGGGCGUAAAGUGCGCGCAGGCGGUUCUUUAAGUCUGAUGUGAAAGCCCACGGCUCAACCGUGGAGGGUCAUUGGAAACUGGAGAACUUGAGUACAGAAGAGGAAAGCGGAAUUCCACGUGUAGCGGUGAAAUGCGUAGAGAUGUGGAGGAAUACCAGUGGCGAAGGCGGCUUUCUGGUCUGUAACUGACGCUGAGGCGCGAAAGCGUGGGGAGCAAACAGGAUUAGAUACCCUGGUAGUCCACGCCGUAAACGAUGAGUGCUAAGUGUUAGGGGGUUUCCGCCCCCCUUAGUGCUGCAGCUAACGCAUUAAGCACUCCGCCUGGGAGUACGGCCGCAAGGCUG
Molecule: ribosomal RNA, 372 nt
Filed under: uncultured organism
Description: partial 16S ribosomal RNA
Rfam family: Bacterial small subunit ribosomal RNA
Source: RNAcentral